This 255-nucleotide ribosomal RNA is filed under the name uncultured bacterium. RNAcentral's name for it is "partial 16S ribosomal RNA". It matches the Rfam family "Bacterial small subunit ribosomal RNA", at positions 524 to 776 of the family's 1533-position model. The record is from RNAcentral.
UACGUAGGGGGCGAGCGUUGUCCGGAGUUACUGGGCGUAAAGAGCUCGUAGGCGGUUUGUCGCGUCUGCUGUGAAAACCUAAGGCUCAACCUUGGGCUUGCAGUGGGUACGGGCAGACUAGAGUGCGGUAGGGGUGACUGGAAUUCCUGGUGUAGCGGUGGAAUGCGCAGAUAUCAGGAGGAACACCGAUGGCGAAGGCAGGUCACUGGGCCGCAACUGACGCUGAGGAGCGAAAAGCAUGGGGGAGCGAACAGG